This 3516-nucleotide ribosomal RNA is filed under the name Triticum aestivum (bread wheat). RNAcentral's name for it is "partial small subunit ribosomal RNA". The record is from RNAcentral. Lineage: Eukaryota; Viridiplantae; Streptophyta; Magnoliopsida; Poales; Poaceae.
AGCAAGUGGAUAAGAGGCUCGCUGCAUCCCUAUGAACGAGUGGAUACAUAUUGUCCAGCUCGUCACUGACAUCCACGGUCUAAAAUGUGUGUGUGAGAGAGAGAGAGAGAGCACGGCGAAGCCUGGCGGCCAAGCGCGCACCGACGCUGGCCGCCGUUUAGAACUCUGUGGGACGACUCUUAUAGAGCAGCAGGUCGCAGCACACGCACAGCAAACCGGCAAGCAUCAAGGAGAAUACAGCCAGAUUAUUUGCAGAAGAAUUGGUUACAAAACAAGUACACUAAUUUGGGAGCACAUACAAGGAAGAGCAAUCGAUGGCCGAGUCUACUGUUAAGGCAGUGGUCGGGAACGUGAGCAACCUUGCCGUUCAGGAGACAAGCCUGCUAUGUGGAGUCACCCUUGAAGUUGAGUGCCUGAAAAAUGAGCUUGAGCGACUGAAGUGGUACCUGAAAUCUGCCGACGCUAAAUGGAGAUCAGGAGAUGACCGUGUGGCUACCUGGGUCAGCCAGAUCAAGGCCGUCUCAUAUGAGGCUGAGAAUGUCAUCGAGGUCACCGAUUACAUGGGCAAGCGAAACAGGCUCAAGAAGGGCUUCUUAGGUGCCAUCUCAAGGUAUGCUCACUUACCCGGUGACUUGAUCACUCUUCACAAAGUCGGUGUCGAAAUCAAGCGUGUAAGAAGGAAGCUCGAUGAGAUAUUUCAAAGUGCGGAACGUUUGAAAUUUAUUUUAGACAGUAGUGUUGUUGACGACAAGGUUCACGUAGAUGGUGAGUCUCAACAAGAGUAUGGUCUUAUGUACGAAAACAUUGAAGAUGAUUUUGUGAUGGUUGGCUUUGAAGAUGAGUAUGAAGAAAUAGUUGAUAAAUUAGUUGACAUAGACAAGGAUCUUAGUGUUGUUUCCAUAGUUGCCAUGGGUGGUGCGGGAAAAACAACACUUGCUAGAAAAGUCUACUCUUCAUCUAUAGUUGAACAACACUUUGAGAAAAUUGCUUGGGUGACUGUAUCUGAAAAGUAUAAGGGCAUUGAUUUAAUGAAGGAUAUUAUGAAACAAUUAAUGGGGACAAGGGGUGAUUCACUUGAACAAAUGGAAGAGUAUGAGGUGGGAAAAAAAACCCAUGACUUUCUCUUGCAUAGAAGAUACUUGGUAGUUCUCGAUGAUGUGUGGGAAACCAACACAUGGGACCAAAUAAACAGAAAGGUCAAAGCCUUUCCAAAUGCAAGUAAUGGCAGUAGAAUACUCUUAACCACUCGAAAGGAAGAUGUCGCAAAUCAUAUACAAAUGCCAACCCAUGUUCAUCAUUUGAAGAAGUUAGACGAAGAUGAAAGUUGGAAACUUUUUAACAGCAAAGCUCUACCAUCAUACAUAAGGAGAACCAUAAUUGAUGUGUAUGAGUUUGAAGAACUAGGGAGAAACCUUGCAAGAAAAUGUGAUGGAUUACCUCUUGCCCUUGCGGUUUUGGGAGGCUAUCUAUCAAGGAAUCUAAACACACAAACAUGGUGUGAUAUACUCUUGGAUUGGCCAUCAACCAAGAAUGGACAGAUGAUGCGAGAAAUACUAGCUCGCAGUUACAAAGACCUGGCAAAUCAUCACUUGAGAUCGUGUUACCUCUAUUUUGCCGCUUUUCCAGAAGAUUACAAAAUAUCUGUGUUGGCUCUUAUUGAAGUAUGGAUAGCAGAAAGAUUCAUUCCGCAUUUACCAAAUCAUAAACUAGAAGAAACAGCACAUAAGUAUGUACUCGAGUUGGCUCAGAGAAACUUGGUCCAAGUUAUUGAGAGAAGUGAGGUACAUGGAUGCAUUCUAACAGUAAGAAUUCAUGACAUUCUACGUGACUGGUGCAUAGAAGAAGCAAGGCAAGAUGGUUUUCUUGAUGUCAUCAACAAAACUGCAGGACAAGGUGGUCCAUCUUCAUCUAAUACCAUGAUAUCAUAUCAUUCUUCUGUCCAAAACUUGAAUGGCGAUCUAAUUUGCCAUGAAAGCAUAUCUAAUUCAGCACGAACACUUAUUGUCUUUAGAAUUCCUUCUGUAUCGUUGUCCAACCAGCUAAAAUUGUUGAGGGUUCUUCAUGUGGAAGAUUCAAGUCUGGAAAAUUUCUCCAGGAUAAUUGGUGGGUGCAUUUACCUAAGAUACAUCAGGCUUAGAAGAUGCAAAGGUGUGACAUUGCCUUCUUCAAUAGGACAACUCCUUUACUUGGAGACUAUAGAUCUAAAAUGCACACAAAUGGACUCGGUAGUACCAAAGUCCCUCUGGGAUAUCCCUACUUUAAGGCAUGUUUAUCUUGGAAAUGAGUUUUCCCCACCAAGGAGUCUGCGACAUAAAGAGCUCCAGACCUUUGAGUUAUAUCUUACGCGUGCCGAAACUAAAUACCGACGUCAUAACAUGGUUAUUUUUUUGGGCCAGAUGAAUCAAGUAACAACCUUCUCUUGGGCGAUUAGCCAUAUCCCGUUAGAAGUGAUUAACAUAUUUGCAAACAUGCCUCAUCUUGUCGAUAUUUAUCUCAACAAAUUUAGUGUGCUCAAGACGAUCCCCGCUAAGUUCCCACAAAGCCUACGGUGUCUUGUUCUAUUUGCUGAUAUCAUUGAACAAGAUCCGAUGCCAAUGUUGGAGAAGCUCCCAUCUCUUGUGGUGCUGGAAUUAUCCGGAUAUCGUGGCCGAAUCAUGUCCUGCUCUGCCAAAGGGUUUCAGCGCAUGCAAUCGCUAAAACUUGAUGAGUUCUCCAUUGAGGAGUGGCGGAUGGAUGUUGGGUCGAUGCCAAGGCUUUCCCACCUUGCACUUCGGAGAUGCAGGCAAAUAGAGAAGCUCCCCGAGGGGUUGUUGCAUGUUCGGCUCCUCAUCGGUGAUAUUGAACUGUUCAAUGUGCCUCAGAUUACCGAAGAUGAUAAUAUAUUGUAUGAGCUGCAAAGCAGAGGAUGGAAGGUGAAACGUUCACCGUGAGCCAUGCAUGAUUCGUCGCAAGAUCUUUGACUACGAAUCAGAGGAAGAGUUUCCUGACUCUCCCAAGGCACUCAUUACUUCACAAUAUGCAUGCUCCGACUUAAAGCUAUAUGAUUCCCUCAAAUACCCCAGAAUUAGCUGAAGCAUUGGCGCUACGGCGUGCGGUGGCUCUCACCUGUGAUGAAGGAUUUUCAAGGGCCGUUUUGCAGUCAGACUGUUUCUCAGUUAUCCAAAGAACCAAUGCUUCAACGGUUGAUCGCUCGCUGAUGGGGCUCAUCACUGCUAAUAUGAAGGAGUUGGCGGCGGUCUUCUCAUCUGUUCGCUUUAGUCAUGUAAAUCGUUUGUCGAAUGUUGCGGCACAUAUUCUAGCUAGAUCUUGUGAGUCCCCUAGUGACUCUAUUUUUCAUGUAACCCCGGAUUGUAUCCGGGAGGCACUCUCUCUUGAUUAUACUUGAUCAAUGAAGCGCGAUAUUCCUAAAAAAUAAUGUAAUGGAGUAAACUGGUCUACGUAACCUAUAUGUGCUCCAUCUAAUGUAUCAUGUGUGAGUAUGUAAGUAUUCCUUUUCAUUGAGGUGUUGUCUUCCCU